Andrographis paniculata is the source of this 713-nucleotide long non-coding RNA. RefSeq lists it as uncharacterized. Lineage: Eukaryota; Viridiplantae; Streptophyta; Magnoliopsida; Lamiales; Acanthaceae. The transcript is spliced from 2 exons. The record is from RefSeq and is a predicted model, not a curated record.
UCAUUACAAAGUAGAAUACAUAAAGCAUUCACUACACUACAGAUUCAUUGAAUCUGGACGCAAUUCGGGUAUUACCCGACGAAGCAUCUGAUUUCAUUUCCAUCGCCUUCCUCUCUCUCCACUCUAGGGUUUUGACUGACUGUUCGAUCGCCAGCGCCAUUAGCCGUGCGGUUCCAAAAGGCAAAAGAAAACCAAAAAGGUAACGUCAUUGCUGGAUUUGAUCUACCAUCAAUUUUGGAUAUUGGCGCAUUUUGUCCAACAGUAUUAGAAUAUUUGUAACACUGUUUUGCCCUGCCUUCCUUUGUGUUAUCCGUUGCUAGCGGAGUGGAGAGUGGGGCAUAUCUUCUGCAGCACUAUCGAUGGCGUUUGGGAACUGAGUGCUGCAGGUGAUUCCAUAAUUAUCGAAGGAUUCCUGUCUCUUUGGGACCCUUUUUCCAAUUUAUGUGGUGCCGGCACAUUAUAUGUCUUCUCUACUCGAUCCACAUCCCCGGUUGUGAUCCUUGAUCGUUCUUGUCUUGUUCCCAUCGUCAUUGUGUGGACUACUCUCAGUUGACUGUGUGUGUGCAUUCGCAGAUAGAUUCUCCCCACAGACCUUUUAGUCGAGGUAUAUCCACAUGGCUUUCCUUUAUUGGUUUGUUCUUAUGAAUUCCUUGUCGAAUAUAUAUGAGGAUAGCGAUAACUAUAAUCAAACUAGGUGCAAGAAAUUUGCUUCA